This 227-nucleotide non-coding RNA is filed under the name Halanaerobium hydrogeniformans. RNAcentral's name for it is "T-box sequence". It matches the Rfam family "T-box leader". From Rfam's summary of the family: Uncharged tRNA acts as the effector for transcription antitermination of genes in the T-box leader family. T-boxes are found upstream of many aminoacyl-tRNA synthetase genes and some amino acid biosynthetic genes usually in Gram-positive bacteria. The anticodon of a specific tRNA base pairs to a specifier sequence within the T-box motif, and the NCCA acceptor tail of the tRNA base pairs to a conserved bulge in the T-box antiterminator hairpin. The record is from RNAcentral. Lineage: Bacteria; Bacillati; Bacillota; Clostridia; Halanaerobiales; Halanaerobiaceae.
UUAAAAGCUGAGAAAGAGAGAGUAGCUUAGACUUUCUAUUACAGGAAAUAACCGUCUUAACUGAGAGCGGUUUAAUAGCAAAGCUGGGUGAAGUUCACUCUGGAGCUGAAAACUGAAUUGAGUAGGUUUUUCCGGAAGUUAUUAAAACUUCCGUUAACAAAACAAAGUGAUUCCAUUAGUUUAAAAUGGAGUAAACAGGGUGGUAACACGGUUAUCUCGUCCCUUUU